UGCCACAGCCAUAUCACCCUGCAGCCCAAGACUGGUUACUCACUGAAGCUACGCAGGGCUGAGCCUGGUCAGUACUUGGAUGGGAGACCACAUGGGAAAACUAGACUGCUGUUAGAA
This 117-nucleotide ribosomal RNA is filed under the name Danio rerio (zebrafish). The record is from RNAcentral. Lineage: Eukaryota; Metazoa; Chordata; Actinopteri; Cypriniformes; Danionidae.